UUUGGUGACUGUGCUCCUCCAGACCAGUUACCGUGGUUCAAAAGAACUUCAACUCUUGCAAACCUUCGAAAAAACCACCCGGCAAAGUAGUUUUUUC
Molecule: non-coding RNA, 97 nt
Filed under: insect gut metagenome
Source: RNAcentral